GGUUCACUGAAGAAUGAUACCCUGGACUCAAGUAGUAUGUAAACACAAAGAGUGUUUUGUUCUGCAAAAGUCCAGCAUGUUGAGGGCUCCUAUUACUAGGAUAGAGAGGUAACCAGGGGACCUUGCUCACAGGCCAGAUUUAAAGCAUAUUAGGGGAAUUCCAAGGCCAGGUGGCAGGGCAGCUUCUGAGGUCUGGACUUGCCUGAACUUGCCUGGACUUGCCCAGUUCUUGGAAACAGAGAUUUGGACCUCAUCUCCUGAACUGCCGAUUUAAAGCCUGUCAUGGAGUCAGCCUAGCCUUCUCAGGUUUAACUUUGUAUUUCAUUUCUGCAGAGCUCUACCUGACCAAACUAUCACUUAUGGAAAUAUUCACUCUGAUGAAAUGGAAAUCUUUAACAUGCAGUAAAUCAGGGACCUACUGCAUGGCAAAAAAGUUGCAGCCAUGGACUUUGAUGUAAAUUCUACUGCUCAUAACACCCACAAGUCAGAAGCUCUCACUUAUGGGAGACAGGAUUAUCUCAGCACCAAAUUCCACGAGUGGUAUUUACUUUGACUAAAGUCAUUUAUAUGCAUCUGUGGUCCACUGAAGAACUACAAGUUCUUGAAAUUAAAACGGUAGAAAC
Long non-coding RNA from Mastomys coucha (southern multimammate mouse), 623 nucleotides. RefSeq lists it as uncharacterized. The record is from RefSeq and is a predicted model, not a curated record. Lineage: Eukaryota; Metazoa; Chordata; Mammalia; Rodentia; Muridae. The transcript is spliced from 2 exons.